Molecule: ribosomal RNA, 499 nt
Filed under: uncultured Glomeromycotina
Lineage: Eukaryota; Fungi; Glomeromycota
Description: partial small subunit ribosomal RNA
Rfam family: Eukaryotic small subunit ribosomal RNA
Source: RNAcentral
CCAAUAGCGUAUAUUAAAGUUGUUGCAGUUAAAAAGCUCGUAGUUGAAUUUCGGGAUUAAUAUGUUGGUCGUGCCUUGGUACGUACUGGCAUUAUUGAUUCCUACCUUCUGAAGAACCUCGAUGUCAUUAAUUUGGUGUCUUGGGGAAUCAGGACCGUUACUUUGAAAAAAUUAGAGUGUUUAAAGCAGGCUCGCGCUUGAAUACAUUAGCAUGGAAUAAUGAAAUAGGACGUUUGAUUCUAUUUUGUUGGUUUCUAGGAUCGACGUAAUGAUUAAUAGGGAUAGUUGGGGGCAUUAGUAUUCAAUUGUCAGAGGUGAAAUUCUUGGAUUUAUUGAAGACUGACUACUGCGAAAGCAUUUGCCAAGGAUGUUUUCAUUAAUCAAGAACGAAAGUUAGGGGAUCGAAGACGAUCAGAUACCGUCGUAGUCUUAACCAUAAACUAUGCCGACUAGGGAUCGGAUGAUGUUAAUUUUUUAAUGACUCAUUCGGCGCCUUACG